UGGCUCAGAUUGAACGCUGGCGGCAGGCCUAACACAUGCAAGUCGAGCGGAUGAAGGGAGCUUGCUCCUGGAUUCAGCGGCGGACGGGUGAGUAAUGCCUAGGAAUCUGCCUGGUAGUGGGGGAUAACGUCCGGAAACGGGCGCUAAUACCGCAUACGUCCUGAGGGAGAAAGUGGGGGAUCUUCGGACCUCACGCUAUCAGAUGAGCCUAGGUCGGAUUAGCUAGUUGGUGGGGUAAAGGCUUACCAAGGCGACGAUCCGUAACUGGUCUGAGAGGAUGAUCAGUCACACUGGAACUGAGACACGGUCCAGACUCCUACGGGAGGCAGCAGUGGGGAAUAUUGGACAAUGGGCGAAAGCCUGAUCCAGCCAUGCCGCGUGUGUGAAGAAGGUCUUCGGAUUGUAAAGCACUUUAAGUUGGGAGGAAGGGCAGUAAGUUAAUACCUUGCUGUUUUGACGUUACCAACAGAAUAAGCACCGGCUAACUUCGUGCCAGCAGCCGCGGUAAUACGAAGGGUGCAAGCGUUAAUCGGAAUUACUGGGCGUAAAGCGCGCGUAGGUGGUUCAGCAAGUUGGAUGUGAAAUCCCCGGGCUCAACCUGGGAACUGCAUCCAAAACUACUGAGCUAGAGUACGGUAGAGGGUGGUGGAAUUUCCUGUGUAGCGGUGAAAUGCGUAGAUAUAGGAAGGAACACCAGUGGCGAAGGCGACCACCUGGACUGAUACUGACACUGAGGUGCGAAAGCGUGGGGAGCAAACAGGAUUAGA
RNAcentral lists this ribosomal RNA (767 nucleotides) under Pseudomonas aeruginosa. Its description in RNAcentral is "bacterial SSU rRNA". It matches the Rfam family "Bacterial small subunit ribosomal RNA", at positions 20 to 782 of the family's 1533-position model. The record is from RNAcentral. Lineage: Bacteria; Pseudomonadati; Pseudomonadota; Gammaproteobacteria; Pseudomonadales; Pseudomonadaceae.